AUACGGAGGAUCCGAGCGUUAUCCGGAUUUAUUGGGUUUAAAGGGUGCGCAGGCGGCCGUUUAAGUCAGCGGUUAAAUCGUGGGGCUCAACCCCAUUCUGCCGUUGAUACUGGGUGGCUUGAUUGCGGUCGAGGUUGGCGGAAUUCGUUGUGUAGCGGUGAAAUGCAUAGAUAUGACGAAGAACACCGAUUGCGUAGGCAGCUGACCAGACCGCAAAUGACGCUCAUGCACGAAAGUGCGGGGAUCGAACAGGAUUAGAUACCCUGGUAGUCCGCACAGUAAACGAUGAAUACUUGUUUUCGGCGAUAUAAUGUCGGAGGCAAAGCGAAAGCGAUAAGUAUUCCACCUGGGGAGUACGCCGGCAACGGUGAAACUCAAAUGAAUUGGCGGGG
This 392-nucleotide ribosomal RNA is filed under the name uncultured bacterium. RNAcentral describes it as "partial 16S ribosomal RNA". It matches the Rfam family "Bacterial small subunit ribosomal RNA", at positions 523 to 918 of the family's 1533-position model. The record is from RNAcentral.